This 483-nucleotide ribosomal RNA is filed under the name uncultured bacterium. RNAcentral's name for it is "partial 16S ribosomal RNA". It matches the Rfam family "Bacterial small subunit ribosomal RNA", at positions 28 to 523 of the family's 1533-position model. The record is from RNAcentral.
GACGAACGCUGGCGGCGUGCUAAACACAUGCAAGUCGAACGAUGAAGCUAGAGCUUGCUCUGGUGGAUUAGUGGCGAACGGGUGAGUAACACGUGAGUACCUGCCCCGAACUCUGGGAUAACUGCUGGAAACGGUAGCUAAUACUGGAUACGACCAACGAAGGCAUCUUCUGUUGGUGGAACGAAUUUCGGUUCGGGAUGGACGCGCGGCCUAUCAGCUUGGUGGUGAGGUAACGGCUCACCAAGGCGACGACGGGUAGCCGGCCUGAGAGGGGGAUCGGCCACGCUGGGACUGAGACACGGCCCAGACUCCUCGGGGAGGCAGCAGUGGGGAAUAUUGCACAAGGGGCGCAAGCCUGAUGCAGCAACGCCGCGUGAGGGACGACGGCCUUCGGGUUGUAAACCUCUUUUAGUAGGGAAGAAGCGAAAGUGACGGUACCUGCAGAAAAAGCACCGGCUAACUACGUGCCAGCAGCCGCCGUAA